CGUAAUAAAAAGGGGAGCUGGAAACGGCUGAGAGGAAGCGUGUGCUUCGACCCAUAACCUGAUUCGGAUAAUGCCGACGUAGGGAACUGUGUACGAUAUGCGA
Molecule: non-coding RNA, 103 nt
Organism: Erysipelotrichaceae bacterium 3_1_53
Lineage: Bacteria; Bacillati; Bacillota; Erysipelotrichia; Erysipelotrichales; Erysipelotrichaceae
Source: Rfam